AAAAGCCCAGCGCUGAAUCCAUCGGCCACUGGUCGCUUGGAGUUGUAGCGUAUAGGUGCGGCUGUCUGAUCGUGUCGCGCACCCAAAGUCCCCUUGAGCGGGGCCACGGUCCGAAGAAGGUGCUAGACCUGUACGGGUGGCGAGACGGUUGGUUGGUCGCUCCUUGGAGUCGGGUUGCCUGGGAUCGCAGCCCAAAGUUGGUGGUAGACCUCAUCUAAGGCUAAAUAUGGCCACGAAACCGAUAGCAAACAAGUACCGUGAGGGAAAGUUGCAAAGAACUUUGAAGAGAGAGUUCAAGAGGGCGUGAAACCGCUGAGAUGGAAACGGAUAGAGUUGACGGAGCUCUGCUGCAUUCACCCGAUCGGCCUAGCGGUCCAAUGGCUUUGACUUCCUCGAUGAGGGCAAGGCUGCUGGUAACUGUUGGGUAUUUGAUCGGUGUAUUUGCGGCUGGUAUGCGCUGAGGGCUUUGUGAGCGCAUGUCRACGGGCGUGGAGUGGACCAUACCUUUCCGGUGUGGAACCCUUCGCGCUCUUAGGCAUGUCGUUUGUAAAGUUUCAAAAGUGCCGUCUCCGCUAUGGUGCAUCGGUUUUGUCGAGCUGUUGUGGCUUCAGGCUGGUCGCAUGCGACCGUCGGUCGUCGUCAAUGGUCCGUCAAAGCACAGAUGCGCCGAGACGUGCACCUCGGUGUGAACGUUGACCACCUAUCCGACCCGUCUUGAAACACGGACCAAGGAGUUUAGCAUAUGCGCAAGUCAUUGGGUGGAAAACCUAAAGGCGUAAUGAAAGUAAAAGUCGUCUCGAACGGCCGAUAUGGGAUCCGCAUGGCUUCCGAGUUGUGCGGCGCACCAUAGCCCCGUCCCCGUUGCAUGCAAUAGGGCGGAGGUAGAGCGUAUACGCUGAGACCCGAAAGAUGGUGAACUAUGCCUGAGCAGGAUGAAGCCAGAGGAAACUCUGGUGGAAGUCCGAAGCGGUUCUGACGUGC
Molecule: ribosomal RNA, 981 nt
Filed under: Contracaecum osculatum baicalensis
Lineage: Eukaryota; Metazoa; Nematoda; Chromadorea; Rhabditida; Anisakidae
Description: LSU rRNA
Rfam family: Eukaryotic large subunit ribosomal RNA
Source: RNAcentral